AGACAUCUCCCCACCAGGGCAGCAGUCAGCCCAUGACCGACUGGAGGCACAAAAGGCCAGGCCCUUGCCUGCGGCCUCUCGGGAGGGUCUCCUGCCCACAGGGGCUAUGACUGCCUCCUAGAAGAAUCCAGCCUGGAUUUUAACCACCAGCCCAUAAAAUCCUAAACAGCUUGGGACCAGUCCAUGCUGUUAUGAGCUGAGUCCCUCUGCAGUUCUCACAAUUGAAGGUGAACAUUCCAGCCAUCCCUGGGCUCUUAAGCAGAGGCCAGCAUCCUGCCGAAGAAUUCUUUUUGCCCUGAGACCGAGGCCACAUUGUAGGAUGGAGACUUUCCAGUGUCCAUGGGCUCUCCUGCUCCAGCUGGCGCUAGUCAUCUCUGAAGUCUCAGUUUCCCACCUGGAGGAGUUGGAGGAGAACUGUGGGCUGAUGCUUGUUCAAGUCAUUCUGAGGGGUGCAGUCUAAGGAAGAGCUCUCUGAACGGCAACUAGAUUCCAGAAUCCCCUUUUAGGGCUUGUCGAUGGAGGAGAUAAUUUGGGGUCAGGCCCAGCUUCAUGUGUGAGCCCUGUGAAGUUACACAGGGCUCACCACUUAGAAGGGCCUAUGCUUGGUUUAAUGCGCUACUGUUGCUAUCUUGAAAUUAUUAAUAAUUUUAAACAAGGAUGUCUGUCUUUUCACCUUGCCCUGGGCCCCACAAAUUAUGUAACUGGUCCCGUUUGGGGUCCCAUUUGGGCUCCCACAUUUAUGAAGAGUUGUUCAGGGUUGCCUGCCAAGAGGCAGAGGAAAAGGUGAAAUUUCCCCGGGAUACCUUUUACCCCAAGACGCUGGUGAAACUUGUAGGCUCCAUA
RNAcentral lists this long non-coding RNA (843 nucleotides) under Equus caballus (horse). Its description in RNAcentral is "lncRNA (ENSECAG00000053009.1)". The record is from RNAcentral. Lineage: Eukaryota; Metazoa; Chordata; Mammalia; Perissodactyla; Equidae.